CGUACACUCCUGCGGGAGGCAGCAGUGGGGAAUAUUGGACAAUGGGCGCAAGCCUGAUCCAGCCAUGCCGCGUGAGUGAUGAAGGCCCUAGGGUUGUAAAGCUCUUUCACCGGUGAAGAUAAUGACGGUAACCGGAGAAGAAGCCCCGGCUAACUUCGUGCCAGCAGCCGCGGUAAUACGAAGGGGGCUAGCGUUGUUCGGAUUUACUGGGCGUAAAGCGCACGUAGGCGGACUAUUAAGUCAGGGGUGAAAUCCCGGGGCUCAACCCCGGAACUGCCUUUGAUACUGGUAGUCUUGAGUUCGAGAGAGGUGAGUGGAAUUCCGAGUGUAGAGGUGAAAUUCGUAGAUAUUCGGAGGAACACCAGUGGCGAAGGCGGCUCACUGGCUCGAUACUGACGCUGAGGUGCGAAAGCGUGGGGAGCAAACAGGAUUAGAAACCCGGGUAGUCCCAUGA
Molecule: ribosomal RNA, 454 nt
Filed under: uncultured organism
Description: partial 16S ribosomal RNA
Rfam family: Bacterial small subunit ribosomal RNA
Source: RNAcentral